GUCCUCAUGGCCCUUAUGGGUUGGGCUACACACGUGCUACAAUGGCGGUGACAGUGGGAUGCGAAGUCGCAAGAUGGAGCCAAUCCCCAAAAGCCGUCUCAGUUCGGAUUGCACUCUGCAACUCGGGUGCAUGAAGUUGGAAUCGCUAGUAAUCGCGGAUCAGCACGCCGCGGUGAAUACGUUCCCGGGCCUUGUACACACCGCCCGUCACACCAUGGGAGUUGGCUUUACCCGAAGGUGGUGCGCUAACCGGCAACGGAGGCAGCCAACCACGGUCAGGUCAGCGACUGGGGUGAAGUCGUAACAAGGUAGCCGUAGGGGAACCUGCGGCUGGAUCACCUCCUUUCUAAGG
RNAcentral lists this ribosomal RNA (352 nucleotides) under Azospirillum brasilense. RNAcentral's name for it is "bacterial SSU rRNA". It matches the Rfam family "Bacterial small subunit ribosomal RNA", at positions 1189 to 1533 of the family's 1533-position model. Lineage: Bacteria; Pseudomonadati; Pseudomonadota; Alphaproteobacteria; Rhodospirillales; Azospirillaceae. The record is from RNAcentral.